Molecule: ribosomal RNA, 403 nt
Filed under: uncultured bacterium
Lineage: Bacteria
Description: bacterial SSU rRNA
Rfam family: Bacterial small subunit ribosomal RNA
Source: RNAcentral
UAGGGAAUAUUAGUAAUGGGCGAAAGCCUGAACUAGCAACGCCGCGUGUGCGAAGAAGGCCUUCGGGUCGUAAAGCACUUUUUGAGAGGAUGAGGAAGGACGGUACUCUCAGAAUAAGUCUCGGCUAACUACGUGCCAGCAGCCGCGGUAACACGUAGGAGGCAAACGUUAUCCGGAUUUACUGGGCGUAAAGCGCGUGUAGGUGGUUUGGUAAGUAGGGCGUGAAAGCUCUUGGCUCAACUGGGAGAGGACGUUCUAAACUGCCAAGCUUGAGGAUGGUAGAGGGAGGUGGAAUUCCGGGUGUAGCGGUGAAAUGCGCAGAUAUCCGGAGGAACACCAGUGGCGAAGGCGGCCUCCUGGACCACUCCUGACACUCAGACGCGAAAGCUAGGGUAGCAAACGG